AUUGAACGCUGGCGGCAGGCCUAACACAUGCAAGUCGAGCGGAUGACGGGAGCUUGCUCCUUGAUUCAGCGGCGGACGGGUGAGUAAUGCCUAGGAAUCUGCCUGGUAGUGGGGGACAACGUUUCGAAAGGAACGCUAAUACCGCAUACGUCCUACGGGAGAAAGCAGGGGACCUUCGGGCCUUGCGCUAUCGGAUGAGCCUAGGUCGGAUUAGCUAGUUGGUGGGGUAAUGGCUCACCAAGGCGACGAUCCGUAACUGGUCUGAGAGGAUGAUCAGUCACACUGGAACUGAGACACGGUCCAGACUCCUACGGGAGGCAGCAGUGGGGAAUAUUGGACAAUGGGCGAAAGCCUGAUCCAGCCAUGCCGCGUGUGUGAAGAAGGUCUUCGGAUUGUAAAGCACUUUAAGUUGGGAGGAAGGGCAGUAAGCUAAUACCUUGCUGUUUUGACGUUACCGACAGAAUAAGCACCGGCUAACUCUGUGCCAGCAGCCGCGGUAAUACAGAGGGUGCAAGCGUUAAUCGGAAUUACUGGGCGUAAAGCGCGCGUAGGUGGUUUGUUAAGUUGGAUGCGAAAGCCCCGGGCUCAACCUGGGAACUGCAUCCAAAACUGGCAAGCUAGAGUACGGUAGAGGGUGGGUGGAAUUUCCUGUGUAGCGGUGAAAUGCGUAGAUAUAGGAAGGAACACCAGUGGCGAAGGCGACCACCUGGACUGAUACUGACACUGAGGUGCGAAAGCGUGGGGAGCAAA
This 750-nucleotide ribosomal RNA is filed under the name uncultured bacterium. RNAcentral describes it as "bacterial SSU rRNA". It matches the Rfam family "Bacterial small subunit ribosomal RNA", at positions 28 to 772 of the family's 1533-position model. The record is from RNAcentral.